RNAcentral lists this ribosomal RNA (756 nucleotides) under uncultured bacterium. RNAcentral describes it as "bacterial SSU rRNA". It matches the Rfam family "Bacterial small subunit ribosomal RNA", at positions 8 to 796 of the family's 1533-position model. The record is from RNAcentral.
AGAGUUUGAUCAUGGCUCAGAAUCAACGCUGGCGGCGCGCUUAACACAUGCAAGUCGAACGAGAAAGUGGAGCAAUCCAUGAGUACAGUGGCGUACGGGUGAGUAACACGUGGGUAAUCUACCUCUUAGUGGGGAAUAACUUUGGGAAACCGAAGCUAAUACCGCAUAAGCUCGAGAGAGGAAAGCAGCAAUGCGCUGAGAGAGGAGCCCGCGGCCGAUUAGCUAGUUGGCAGGGUAAAAGCCUACCAAGGCAGAGAUCGGUAGCCGGCCUGAGAGGGCACACGGCCACACUGGCACUGAAACACGGGCCAGACUCCUACGGGAGGCAGCAGUGGGGAAUCUUGCACAAUGGGGGCAACCCUGAUGCAGCGACGCCGCGUGAGCGAUGAAGCCCUUCGGGGUGUAGAGCUCUUUCGUCAGGGAAGAUAGUGACGGUACCUGGAGAAGCAGCUGCGGCUAACUACGUGCCAGCAGCCGCGGUAAUACGUAGGCAGCGAGCGUUGUUCGGAGUUACUGGGCGUAAAGGGUGUGUAGGCGGUUGUUUAAGUUUGGUGUGAAAUCUCCCGGCUCAACUGGGAGGAUGCGCCGAAUACUGAGCGACUAGAGUGCGGGAGAGGAAAGUGGAAUUCCUGGUGUAGCGGUGAAAUGCGUAGAUAUCAGGAGGAACACCGGUGGUGUAGACGGCUUUCUGGACCGUAACUGACGCUGAGACACGAAAGCGUGGGUAGCAAACAGGAUUAGAUACCCUAGUAGUCC